CUGGCUCAGGACGAACGCUGGCGGCGUGCUUAACACAUGCAAGUCGAACGGAAAGGCCCUUCGGGGUACUCGAGUGGCGAACGGGUGAGUAACACGUGGGUGAUCUGCCCUGCACUUUGGGAUAAGCCUGGGAAACUGGGUCUAAUACCGAAUAUGACCAUGCUCUUCAUGGAGUGUGGUGGAAAGCUUUUGCGGUGUGGGAUGGGCCCGCGGCCUAUCAGCUUGUUGGUGGGGUAAUGGCCUACCAAGGCGACGACGGGUAGCCGGCCUGAGAGGGUGACCGGCCACACUGGGACUGAGAUACGGCCCAGACUCCUACGGGAGGCAGCAGUGGGGAAUAUUGCACAAUGGGCGCAAGCCUGAUGCAGCGACGCCGCGUGAGGGAUGACGGCCUUCGGGUUGUAAACCUCUUUCAAUAGGGACGAAGCGCAAGUGACGGUACCUAUAGAAGAAGGACCGGCCAACUACGUGCCAGCAGCCGCGGUAAUACGUAGGGUCCGAGCGUUGUCCGGAAUUACUGGGCGUAAAGAGCUCGUAGGUGGUUUGUCACGUUGUUCGUGAAAACUCACAGCUUAACUGUGGGCGUGCGGGCGAUACGGGCAGACUAGAGUACUGCAGGGGAGACUGGAAUUCCUGGUGUAGCGGUGGAAUGCGCAGAUAUCAGGAGGAACACCGGUGGCGAAGGCGGGUCUCUGGGCAGUAACUGACGCUGAGGAGCGAAAGCGUGGGGAGCGAACAGGAUUAGAUACCCUGGUAGUCCACGCCGUAAACGGUGGGUACUAGGUGUGGGUUUCCUUCCUUGGGAUCCGUGCCGUAGCUAACGCAUUAAGUACCCCGCCUGGGGAGUACGGCCGCAAGGCUAAAACUCAAAGAAAUUGACGGGGGCCCGCACAAGCGGCGGAGCAUGUGGAUUAAUUCGAUGCAA
This 925-nucleotide ribosomal RNA is filed under the name Mycobacterium sp. Site4-B26. RNAcentral describes it as "bacterial SSU rRNA". It matches the Rfam family "Bacterial small subunit ribosomal RNA", at positions 19 to 959 of the family's 1533-position model. The record is from RNAcentral. Lineage: Bacteria; Bacillati; Actinomycetota; Actinomycetes; Mycobacteriales; Mycobacteriaceae.